GUGAGGAAUUUUCCGCAAUGGGCGAAAGCCUGACGGAGCAAUGCCGCGUGAAGGAUGAAGGCCUAUGGGUUGUAAACUUCUUUUCUCAGAAAAGAAUUAUGACGGUAUCUGAGGAAUAAGCAUCGGCUAACUCUGUGCCAGCAGCCGCGGUAAGACAGAGGAUGCAAGCGUUAUCCGGAAUGAUUGGGCGUAAAGCGUCUGUAGGUUGUUUAAAAAGUAUUCUGUCAAAGAUUAGGGCUUAACCCUAGAUAGGCAGAAUAAACUUUUAAGCUAGAGUUUGGUAGAGGCAGAGGGAAUUCCCGGUGGAGCGGUGAAAUGCGUAGAUAUCGGGAGGAACACCUAAGGCGAAGGCACUCUGCUGGGCCAAUACUAACACUGAGAGACGAAAGCGAGGGGAGCAAAUGGGAUUAGAUACCCGUGUAGUCC
Molecule: ribosomal RNA, 426 nt
Filed under: uncultured bacterium
Lineage: Bacteria
Description: partial 16S ribosomal RNA
Rfam family: Bacterial small subunit ribosomal RNA
Source: RNAcentral